AUUAUUAAUAAGUGAGAAACUGGGCAACUGUUUUGGUACUUCAUAUAAUUGCUGCAUUUUUCUGUCGUAUCUAUGGGAUCCAACUCAGACUGUAGCUGGUGGCCGCCUUUGGUCUUUUUGUCCUGAGUGAGAUCAGUACUUAGUGAGCAGAGGGAAGUUGCUGGCUGAAGAACUGAUUGCACUUAAAAUCCUUUUGGUUUUAUUUUCAGAGAUAUGAGUGACUGCUGGAAGACAAAGCUGGUUUCACAACAUCCAGCUUCUGUUUCUCAUUUCACCAAAGGCCUUUAACGUGAUCUUGGAUGGAAUACGACAUUUCAGAUGUCCAAAGAGUUAGCUCUGACAGUCUCUGGAGGAAUUUGAGAAGUGUGAAGGUUGGAAAUGAAUCAGUUAUGCAUCAGCUACAUUUCAUACUCUUGUCCUGAGAGUAAAGCAGUUAUGGGCUGGGCUCCUUGUUCCAGAAUGACAGAUAUGGGCAUCUGCUGCUAAUCUAUACUUUAUUAAGCUGAAAGAUUCAUUAACUGCCUCUGUUUUUGGAGCAGUUCCUGAAACAUUACACUUGAACAGUUCAACAUGUUUUCAAAUUUG
This 585-nucleotide long non-coding RNA is filed under the name Phasianus colchicus (ring-necked pheasant). Its description in RNAcentral is "lncRNA (ENSPCLG00000008159.1)". The record is from RNAcentral. Lineage: Eukaryota; Metazoa; Chordata; Aves; Galliformes; Phasianidae.